GGACGAACGCUGGCGGCGUGCUUAACACAUGCAAGUCGAACGGAAAGGCCCUGCUUUUGUGGGGUCCUCGAGUGGCGAACGGGUGAGUAACCCGUGAGUAACCUGCCUUUGACUUUGGGAUAACUUCAGGAAACUGGGGCUAAUCCCGGAUAGGACCUCCGGCUGCUUGGUGGGGGUUGGAAGGUUUCGGGGGUUGGGGUUGGACUCGCGGCUUAUCAGCUUGUUGGUGGGGUAGUGGCUUACCAAGGCUUUGACGGGUAGCCGGCCUGAGAGGGUGACCGGCCACAUUGGGACUGAGAUACGGCCCAGACUCCUACGGGAGGCAGCAGUGGGGAAUAUUGCACAAUGGGCGGAAGCCUGAUGCAGCAACGCCGCGUGCGGGAUGACGGCCUUCGGGUUGUAAACCGCUUUCGCCUGUGACGAAGCGUGAGUGACGGUAAUGGGUAAAGAAGCACCGGCUAACUACGUG
This 469-nucleotide ribosomal RNA is filed under the name uncultured bacterium. RNAcentral describes it as "partial 16S ribosomal RNA". It matches the Rfam family "Bacterial small subunit ribosomal RNA", at positions 27 to 507 of the family's 1533-position model. The record is from RNAcentral.